This 1422-nucleotide ribosomal RNA is filed under the name Epimeria sp. 15 MLV-2017. RNAcentral's name for it is "partial 28S ribosomal RNA". It matches the Rfam family "Eukaryotic large subunit ribosomal RNA", at positions 107 to 831 of the family's 3401-position model. The record is from RNAcentral. Lineage: Eukaryota; Metazoa; Arthropoda; Malacostraca; Amphipoda; Epimeriidae.
GCCCAGCGCAUAACCUCCCGGGCUACCAAGCCUGCGGCGGAAUGUUGCGUUAAGGGAAAGGUCGUUUCAAAGCCCUGCACUACAUGGCCUAAGUUUGGCUUGAAUUUCUCACUGUAUCCUAACGGCUACAACGGCUCCACAGAGGGUGUCAGACCCGUGAGGCCAUGUGAUUAAAUGUGCGUGGGUUCGGCUUUAUUCCCUGAGAGUCGCGUUGCUUGAGCAUGCAGCGCUAAGCAGGUCGUAAACUCGACCUAAGGCUAAAUAUAUUCACAGAACCGAUAGUAAACAAGUACCGUGAGGGAAAGUUGAAAAGUACUCUGAAGAGAGAGUCAAAAGACCGUGAAACCGCUUAGAGUAUAAGCCAAUGGUAUUCUGGAAUGCUGGAGCUCCCCUUGCAAAAUGGUUCCCGAUUGUGGGGUACGUCCUAAGGGUAUCGUUUGUGCGAGAGAUCACGAAGGCUGAUGGGCAAUCGAACCGAAAAGUGGAAUUGAGUUUAUACCACGGCACCUAUAUCUCGCGGGUCUCUGACAGUGGUAACAGGGAACGUUCUAAUGAGGAACCGAACCGAGGCUGGGCUUCAGCGAGCAUCAGUUUCUAAGCAUAAUAACGAUUGGCUUUCUAUACAGCACACCACAAUCCUUUAUAAGGUCUCCCUCGUGAGGUGUGGUAAGAGGUCUCCUCUUUCAGCGAGUCGUGUCGCGUUAUCGCUCUCUGGUUUUUCGUGCGCUUUUGCAGCGUGCUCCCGUACCAAUAUACGUGUAUAGGCGCUCUUUGGCUUGAGCGCUCUUGUACAUUUUGGUGACGUGGUUGCUAGAGGGCCGGCCGACUUUGCACUGCACCGUUCCAGACACGAGCGGAAUGAUCCUAUGUGAAGAUUGAUUCUGACCGUCCGUUACCCCCGAGCCUUGCCUCAACAGAGCUUGGCGAGCAAAUUCCACGGUUGUGCCCUUGCGCUUCGUUACAUUAAGCCUCGUAGUUGGUCUUUCUAGGGAUGGGAGUGCAUUGGCCUCCUCGCGCCCUUUAGAGACUGGCGAAAGGGUGUUUCGGGCUGUGAGCGAGGGGCAUUCGUUGGGUAUACGGCCGAUUGGUGCAUUAUUCCAGAGCCAUUGGUCACGUCUCGAAACACGGGCCAAGGAGCAUAGCAUGUGCGCAAGUCUAAGGGAUAAGAAAUCCUGGAGGCGAAGUGAAAGCAAAUGGUGUGUUUACGAUCGCAUUGCGCGGUCGUAUUCAGCCUGCGAAGAGCGUAAUUCCCGCGCGUGCGUGGAUGAAUGCGUCUCGCGGCUUAAACCGGGUCGAUCCUGUUUCGUAAUCAAGCCUCAAAGGCGAUACGCGGGCGCAAACCCCAGGCUCUCUUACGAGAGUAUUCGCGUAUUCUCGAGAGCACUGCAUAGCGUGCAUGCUAUAACCCGAAAGWUAGUGAAC